This 460-nucleotide ribosomal RNA is filed under the name uncultured bacterium. RNAcentral describes it as "partial 16S ribosomal RNA". It matches the Rfam family "Bacterial small subunit ribosomal RNA", at positions 338 to 795 of the family's 1533-position model. The record is from RNAcentral.
CCUACGGGUGGCAGCAGUGAGGAAUAUUGGUCAAUGGGCGCGAGCCUGAACCAGCCAAGUAGCGUGAAGGAUGACUGCCCUACGGGUUGUAAACUUCUUUUAUAAAGGAAUAAAGUGAGGCACGGGUGCAUGUUUGUAUGUACUUUAUGAAUAAGGAUCGGCUAACUCCGUGCCAGCAGCCGCGGUAAUACGGAGGAUCCGAGCGUUAUCCGGAUUUAUUGGGUUUAACGGGAGCGUAGAGGGUUUGUUAGGUCAGUUUUGAAAGUUUGCGGCUCAACCGUAAAGUUGCAAUUGAUACGGGCCGUCUUGAGUACAGUUGAGGUCGGCGGAAUUCGUUGUGUAGCGGUGAAAUGCUUAGAUAUCACGAAGAACUCCGAUUGCGAAGGCAGCUUACUAAACUGCCACUGACAUUGAUGCUCGAAAGUGUGGGUAUCAAACAGGAUUAGAUACCCCAGUAGUC